UUCGAGUUGACCCCGGCAGUCUCCUACGAGUCCCCGGCAUUACCCGCUGGCAACAUAGGAUAAGGGUUGCGCUCGUUGCGGGACUUAACCCAACACCUCACGGCACGAGCUGACGACAGCCAUGCACCACCUGUGCAGGACCCCGAAGGACACCGUAUCUCUACGGCUUUUCCCUGCAUGUCAAACCCAGGUAAGGUUCUUCGCGUUGCCUCGAAUUAAGCAACAUGCUCCGCCGCUUGUGCGGGCCCCCGUCAAUUCCUUUGAGUUUCAGUCUUGCGACCGUACUCCCCAGGCGGGAUGCUUAACGCGUUAGCUGCGGCACCCGGAGACUAAAAAACUCCAGACACCAAGCAUCCAUCGUUUAAGGCCAGGACUA
RNAcentral lists this unclassified non-coding RNA (376 nucleotides) under uncultured bacterium. RNAcentral describes it as "contains 16S-23S intergenic spacer region". The record is from RNAcentral.